GUGCUCACUUUGGUAGUACAUAUACUAAAAUUGGAAGGAUACAGAGAAGAUUAGCACGGCCCGAGGGCAAGGAUGACAUGCAAAUUUGUGAAGCAUUCUACAUUAAA
This is a small nuclear RNA of Mustela putorius furo (domestic ferret), 107 nucleotides long. The record is from Ensembl. Lineage: Eukaryota; Metazoa; Chordata; Mammalia; Carnivora; Mustelidae.